This 469-nucleotide ribosomal RNA is filed under the name uncultured bacterium. RNAcentral's name for it is "bacterial SSU rRNA". It matches the Rfam family "Bacterial small subunit ribosomal RNA", at positions 355 to 825 of the family's 1533-position model. The record is from RNAcentral.
UCGAGAAUCUUCCGCAAUGGGCGAAAGCCUGACGGAGCGACACCGCGUGCAGGACGAAGGCCUUCGGGUUGUAAACUGCUGUCACGCUCUAGGAAUGCCAUGCUGUUAAUAGCGGCAUGGUUGACCAAGGCGAGAGGAAGUGGCGGCUAACUCUGUGCCAGCAGCCGCGGUAAUACAGAGGGUGCGAGCGUUGUCCGGAAUCACUGGGCGUAAAGGGCGCGUAGGCGGCCCGGUAAGUAGGGGGUGAAAUCUCAUGGCUCAACUGUGAGGGGUCCCUGGAUACUGCCAGCCUUGAGGGGCUCAGAGGAGAGUGGAAUUCCGGGUGUAGUGGUGGAAUGCGUAGAUAUCCGGAGGAAGGCCGGUGGCGAAGGCGGCGCUCUGGAACAUUUCUGACGCUGAGGCUCGAAAGCGUGGGGAGCAAACAGGAUUAGAUACCCGCGUAGUCCCUGAGCGGGCUGGCAAGGCGCAU